ACACACACACACACACACACACGACUCACAAGCACCUGGACUUUCUCUCUCACCCACCACAGAAGGUGAAAUCAGGGUGUGUGUGUGUGUGUGUGUGUUU
RNAcentral lists this microRNA precursor (100 nucleotides) under Xyrichtys novacula (pearly razorfish). The record is from RNAcentral. Lineage: Eukaryota; Metazoa; Chordata; Actinopteri; Labriformes; Labridae.